Molecule: RNA transcript, 2834 nt
Organism: Coregonus clupeaformis (lake whitefish)
Lineage: Eukaryota; Metazoa; Chordata; Actinopteri; Salmoniformes; Salmonidae
Gene name: tsukushi
Exons: 4
Source: RefSeq, a predicted model, not a curated record
UCAAAAGCGAUUGGAAAAAGGAGAGGGGUGCUAGGUGAAACCUGUCGGGACUCCAGUACUCUACGAAGAAGUUGGGGGAGUCUCGUCUCGACCUCAAGUCAGGAUAGCUAGUCGCAGCACUGACAGUUAAUAUAAAACCGCAAGAAAUCUCUCUAAUUUGCCUGAACCGCACAAUGAUAUGGGAUUUACAAAAAUGGGAGCGGAGGUUGCGCCUCAUGCAAGAUUCCUUGGCGUGGUGAAGUGAACUGGAUUGUCCAGGCGAGCCAACUGUCUAAAUUCCUAUUUGAUGGUAAAGAGCAUGAUGGUGUUCCUCCUGUGUGUUAGCCUGUGGAUGCUCCUGGCUGUUCAUGGCCAGGCUGGAGCUGUGAAGAACUGCCACCCAAGCUGCCACUGUGAGGUGGAGAGCUUUGGCCUGUUCGACAGCUUCAGCCUGACCAGGGUGGACUGCAGGGGAGUGGGCCCCAGCACCAGCCCCAUCCCCAUCCCCCUGGACACUGCCCACCUGGACCUGUCCUCCAACUCCAUGUCUCUGCUGACUGACACCAUGCUCUCUGGGCCUGGCUAUACCACCUUGGUCAGCCUGGACCUCAGCAACAACCACAUCUCCAUGGUCAGCCCCAAGGCCCUGUCCAGGCUGCGCUACCUGGAGUCUCUGGACCUCAGCCACAACUCCCUGGAGGGCCUGGACGAGGGCUGCUUCUCUGGCCUCCCCCUGGCCAAGGUAGACCUCAGCCACAACCACUUCCGGGAGUUUGACCUGGACAUGUUCCUCACUAAAGGUCACGGAGAGCCAAUCAGCGUGGAUCUGUCCCACAACCAGCUGACUGUGAUCUCCAGGAGUUCCUCUAGGAGCCCCUUGCUACAUGUCCAGAGCCUGACUCUAGCAGCCAACCAGCUGAGGGCCGUGCCCAAACUAAAAGGCAUCCCGCUGAGGAACCUAAGCCUGGAUGGGAACAUUAUCUCCCGCAUUGAGGAGGGGGCCUUUGAGGACCUCAAGGACCUGGUUCACCUGUCCCUCAGUGGGCUUCCUGAGCUCUCUGACAUCCAGCCUUACAGUUUCAGUGGCCUACAGAGCCUUCAGGUCUUGGACCUGUCCAACAACGCCAAGCUAAAGACACUGAACCCAGCUGUGUUCAGUGGACUUGUGUCUCUACAGGAGCUCAAUCUGUCCAACUCUGGAGUAACGUCAUUUCCAAAUAAUAUGCUAAGUCACUUGCUAAGCAUCAAAAGUAUUACCCUGGGCCAGAAUAUCCAUUGUUGGAGGGCUCAAAAGCAUGGGCAGUUUCACAGGCAGCUUGGACAGGAACAGAAACAUGACGAGGUGCUAACCUGUGAUGUUAAAGGCAUUAUGUCGUGAUUGUGUUGGGAUCGUUGCCUUCAGUAUGGACAUUUAGCUAGCACAUUAGUGCUAAAACUGUGCCUUAUAUCACUAUAUGCAAAGAACACGUUUUGUUAUUGCCGCUAAACAUGAUAAUUACUAUGAUUAUUUUGUAAAAAAUAUAAUUAUUAUUUUGUAUUUUGCUUUUAUUCCAAAGGCCUGAGGUAUUUAAAUUAACCCACUGUUGAUACACUAUCACGUCAUGCUUGCUAUGCAUAAAGCAUGUCUUUCAACUACAGUAACAAGCUAGCAAUAGCAUUGAUGGAUAUUAUCUUAAAACCAUUUAGCUUUUCCUCUUUCAAUUUUGAAGGAGUUUUUAUGAUCUGGAACUAAAAAAAGAUACCUCAGCCACUAGGAAACAUAUUGUUAUAUUCCAUAACAAUCAUCAGAUCGUUGAAGUAUACACAUUACUGUGGAAGGACCACUCUUAUGUCAGACCAAAAGGAGAGCAUUUCCACUGUGCUCAGGUGAAGCGAAGAAACCACAAGAAUAAAUUUGCCCUUUUACGGUUACCUCUGCUGGAGUUGAAAAUUGGGGCAUGGAAGACCUGAAGGGUUGUUUUCUGUUUCCAGUGAGAGAGCUAGAGCGAUACGAUCAGAAACACAAUCAGCCAUCUCAAGACGUCAGACAUGACUCUAAACAGUCAGUAAACGACCCACUGUAGCAGGUCCUGAGGGGAAAUUGGCUACACUGCCCUAUUUCAUGUAGGAUUGUUUAUCACCUUUUGCACAAUAAUACAGCUACAACGAGGGAGGGAAGGAUGAAUAGAGGGGAGGAGGAUUGGCAAACCCUUCUUCUCACUCACACGGACUGUGGGAAUGAUACAGCACCCGAGCAGGAUCAUCUCUGAUUGAUGUGUCUGCAGCGAACAUGCAAAGAACCAAGGCCAACGAUUCUCCCUUCACUGAAGGUUUUCUUCAUCAACACAAAAGCAGAGUCACUAUCAGCAGCCUAAACCAAGCUCUAGCCUUCAAAUGGGAAUGAACAACAGACUGGUAUGUAGUCGAUUUGUAAGUCGCUCUGGAUAAGAGCGUCUGCUAAAUGACGUAAAUGUAGACUGUUUGGGUAUGGUGACAAACCUGUUCUGACCUACUGUUCUCUAAAUAUAACUAUAAAAACCCUUUUUAUGGUCUCAACUGACUCUCUGAAAAAAGUAAUCAUCCGGAAUGUUCUAUUUGCAUGACGAUGUCAGUAGUGUUAUGACUUUGAACAUAGGCAAAGUGGCAAAUAAAAAUGUUAUUCAUGACCCUAUGAGUUUGUUACACAGGUGACUCAUUGCUGCCUGUGAUCAAAUAAUAAUGUAUUUGUGCAUGAUAAAGCAGAGCUGAUAAUGUUAAUGUAAAUGUAUUAAGAUAAUCCACUUUGCCUCUGUGACUAAGGCCUCUGUAAUACCCUCUUCAGUUCAAGUCAAAAGUCAAAGCCCUAUUUUUGGGAAAUAAAUGUAAUGUACAACUCA